RNAcentral lists this long non-coding RNA (529 nucleotides) under Hordeum vulgare. RNAcentral's name for it is "long non-coding RNA (HVUL_LNC015235)". The record is from RNAcentral. Lineage: Eukaryota; Viridiplantae; Streptophyta; Magnoliopsida; Poales; Poaceae.
UUGUGAUCCUUGAUGCUGUGAAAAUGUCCUCAUCGUUAACUUGCUAGAAAAAUUCCCUUUCAACGAAUGUGACCCAGCAAUCAUUCAAGUAAUUUUGCCCCAUCUUGCUUCUUAGCUUGUUUGUUAUAUAUAGUUCAUUGAUGAAAAUACCAUCUCAACUCGACCAUUGCAACAGGAAGAACAAGCAUCAAUUGGUCAGACUAACUUACUUAAUCUUGUAUGUCUAUACUACACCGUAUUGGACAUCAAGCUCAAAAAUGUGCCCCUGCCUACACCCUGCAAUGGUAGAUAAAUUCAGAAAUCGAAUUAGCAUGUCCAUAGUUCAACUAAGCAUAAGCAUGGCUACAUGAGAGAAGAGAUCCUAAUUUUAUAAAUGAAAGGAUCAGUACAUCUAAUUAGCAAUUAUACCUUCAGUACUUGAAUCUGUGAGUUGUGGAUGUGAAACUGAAUUGAUGUGGCGUGUUGCCCACUGGCAACUGCAAAGAUCAGAACCAAAGGGGGGCAGGGAGCAAGCCAACGAGGGAUGGAU